UUUUUUUUUUUUUGGAUUUCCCUGUCUGGGUUGACUUCUGGUCGCUCUGCCCCGUGUUCUAGUCUUGGGUCGAUACCUGAUGUUAUUGAUUUUCUAACCAAAGAACUCCCUUUAGUAUUUAUUAUAGUUUUGGUUUGGUUUUUAUGAAUUCCCUCAAGUUGUGUUUAUCUGGAAAUGUCUUAAUUUCACCUUCAUUUAAGAGGCAGUUUUGAUGGGUAUAUGAUUUUCGGCAGGCAAUUUUUUUCCUUCAGUUUUUUAAAUAUGUCAUUCCAUUGCCUUCUUGCCUGCAUGGUUUCUGCCGAGUAGUCUGAGAAUUUUCCUAUUGGCUCUCCCUUGUAGGUGACUUUUCUUUUAUCCCUUGCUGCUCUUAUAAUUGUCUCUUUAUCUUUGUUUUUGGCAAGCUAGGCGACUUUCUUUUAAGAUCUACCUUAUGUGGAGUUUCAUGAGAAUCUCGGAUAGAUAUCUUCUCAUCUUUCACACUAUCGGGGAAGUUUUCUGGCAACAAAUCCUCAACAAUUUUCUCUGCAUUUUCUGUUCUCCCUCCCUGUUCUGGUACUCCAAUCAGUCGUAGGUCAUUUCUCUUGAUAGAGUCCCCCAUGAUUCUUAAGGUUUCUUCAUUUUUAAAAAUUCUUUUAUCUGAUUUUUCUUCAAAUAUAUUAGUGCCAAGUGAUUUAUCUUCAAGUUCAGAAAUUCUAGCUUCUACUUGCUCACUUGUGCUCCUGUGACUUUCGAUUGAGUUAUCUAAUUCUGUAAUUUUAUUGUUAAUCUUCUGAAUUUCUGAUUGCUGUCUGUCUACGGAUUUUUCCAGCUUAUUAAACUUUUCAUUAUAUUCCUGAAUAAUCUUUCUGAUUUCUUCUGUUGCUUUUUUUGUGUGUUCCUUGGCUUGUUCUGCAUAUUGCCUCAUUUCCUUCCUGAUGCCUUGAAAGGUUCUUUUGUGUGCUGCAUCUGGUAAUUCCAGGGAUGCACUUUCAUCUAAAAGAUCCCUGGAUUCUUUGUUUUGAGAGCCUGUUGAGGUGAUCAUGGCCUGUUUCUUUAUGUGACUUGAUAUUGACUGUUGUCUCCGAGCUAUGUAUAAGUUAUUGUAUUAGUUUAUGGUUGCUUACUGUGUCGUAGCUGCUUGCUUUGUUUUGUUUUGUUUUGGUAUACCCCUAUGGGUUGCCUGAGUGAGUAGCUGGAUUAUUUUCUCCUUUGCAGCUCUGGUGUCCUGUCCUUAGCUGGGUAGAGGUGUUAUCAGGUAUAUCAGUCUAGUAGUCCAUUCAGUUUUCUUGUAUGAAUUCAGCUCAGGUUUCCAGGUAGCUGAUAUCAAGUGUGUGGUACAGGCUCUGUCCUACAGUCUGAGAGGGGCAGGGGUGAUUGGCGUAUAUACCGGUAUCUGAUUGUAGCAGAGGGUCAUGCUCUGAACAAGGCAGGGGACUGAAAACUGACCCCCAAGUGUCCCUGAGGAAAAUGUGUCUCUGUUCCCUAGAGCGCGGUGGUGGAUGGGCUCUGCAGAGGGACCACGGGCACCCGAAGUUUUUGGUGUAAGGACUGGUAGGUAGCAGUUUUCCCUGGACGAGUGUCCCGCGUGGCUGGGCAACCCAAGUGGAGCCAGCAGUCAUCAGGACCCUGUUCUGGGUAGGUGAGGAUUUUGUUUCAUAGGCAAAGCAAUAUCAAACGUCAAAUACCCAGCUGUCCACCGCACCGCUAAAAUGGUUGGAGUUUGCCUACAAGGGCCUUUUCUCCUGAAAUAAGCCCAAACAGGUCCAUGCAGAAGGGAAAGGUGCUCAGGGUCCACGGAUGGUUUAUACCUGGACAGGAGCCGCUUCUGUCCUGAACUUCCCCAGUUAAUGGAGGUAGCAAAUUAUCUUUUCCCCCCAGAUACAAAUUUUUUCCUUCCAUAAGGCCAGGAGGACGACUCCAGGUGCUCAUCAGGGUCUAUCUCAGGCCCCGGAAUUCGGCUGCUGAAGCUGGGUUGGGGGUGGGGGUGGGGUGGUAAAAUAUACUCAAGUAGUUACCUUUUGCCGAGAGUGCCCUUCUCCGUAGGUUCCGGAGGUGUGAGCAGGCUGUGUGGCCCGCUGCUUCUCUCUGAAGGAACUGCAUCUGAAUGCUGGGUCCAGCCGUCCACCGCCGCUGCCACCGCCGUAGCCGCUCUGGGAAUGUUGCCUGAGGGCUCCCCGUGAUUCACGUCCGAACUCUUCAAGGGAGAAGAGUACGAUGGACUUCCCAGUGGAUAUGUGGAGCCUGGGAGUCAUCUUGUAUUUGUUGUACUGUUCCAGGGAAAAGAGUACGACGGACGUCCAAGUGGAUAUGUGGAGCCUGGGAGUCAUGUUGUAUUUGUUGGUGAGUGGAUCGCUGCCUUUUGUUGGAAAUACCUUCACGGAGCUGUGGGAGUGUUUUCUGUGAAAUUGUUUGAAGUCAUCAAGAAUGAGAACACACUCCAUAUACUGUUGGAAUAAGUAAGUGGAAGGGAGGUUUCUCAUCAUGCAAGGGCUCAUGGCAGGAUGAGGGAAAAAGGGGCUCAAGCCACCAAAUUCUGCCAGAUAGUGUCCGUGGUGUAGGACUGUCAUAACAAGUGUAUGGUUCAGAGGGACCUGAAAACAGGAAACCUGGUAUUGGAUAAGAAAAUGAACAGCAAACUUUCAGGUCUUGAUCUUGGAAAUGAAUUCAGCCCGGGCAACAAGCUGUAAACAUCCUCUGGCAGUCUCCCUUCCUUUAUUCUGCCAUAGAACUCUUCAGGGAGAAAAGUAUGACAGACCCCCCAGUGGAUGUGUUGAGCCUGGGAGUCAUCUUGUAUUUGUGGGUGGGUGGAUCUUUGCCUCUUGUUGGAAAUACCUUCAUGAUGCUAUGGCAGGAUGUAGUGAAGGGACUUUCCCCCACAUAUAUCUCUGUAGUAUGAACACCUGCUGAGCAAAAUUUUCAUUCAUGACCCCAGUGAGAGAGGUACUUUAGAGGCAAUUCUGACACAUCCGUGGAUGAUGGUGGGUCAUGAAGAACAAAAGCUGUAUGUGGAACCACUCCCAGAUUUCAGUGACGCCCAGUGGAUUGAGGUUAUUUGCUACACAUGGCAAGAGAUUCAGUGCUUAUGGAUGUUGCCAAAGUACAGUGUUGUGAUAGUCACCUAUCUGCUCCUGGGUCAUAAGACACCUGAGACAGAGGGCCAUAGCAGCCUGCAGUGGAUCUUCAUCCCAUGGUGUACAGUGUACCCUCUUGUGUUAACCCAAGCAGAGGAGGUACAGCGAGCCUACCAUUCCGACACAUCUAGUGCUGCUAUAAUUUCCAGAAGUGGAUGGCUUUAACAAAGAGAAAUUUUUUUCUUCAUGGUAUAGUAGACUAAAAGUCCAAAUUCAGGGUGUCAGCUCCAGGAGAAGGCUUUCUUUCUCUGUCAGUCAUCUCAUCAAUUUUCCCCUGAUAGAGGAGCAUCUCAGGUGCAGGGACACUGGGUCCAAAGGAUGCGCUUCGCUCCUGUUGCUGCUUUAUUGGUGGCGUGAGGUCCCCAAAUCUCCGCUUGCUUCCCUUUCCUUUUUAUCUCUUGAGACAUAAGAGGUGGUACAGACCACACCCCAGGGUAACUUCUUUUACAUUGGAUCUGGGACGUGACCUGGGUAAGGGUGGCGUUACCAUCCUAUCCUAAUCUUGUUUAAGAUAAAAUUACAAUCCCAGAAUAGAGGAGGAGCACAGGAUACGGGGAAUCAUGACCCAGCUAAUGCGAUACACACAUUUUGCGGGGAGGAUAUAAUUUAUUCCAUGAGGCCUACCUAAGAUUCCUCCUGCAAUUAUGCCAAAAAAUAAGUGGCCUGAGGAGGACCAGGAGUCAGGGCAGAAGAGGAGUAGCACAACAACACACCUGUCAGCUCUCUACCCAUCCUGGAGAGAAAGAAGGCCAGUCCUGUGCCCUCUGUGAACAGCAACGUCUCCACCAACAAACAGGAAAGUGGGAAUUCGACACCUUUAGUGAAGACCAGCCUUGGGCAGGGCAACAUCCACAAUGCUUUGGAUAGUCUAUCUGACUCAGUUUCAGGGGCCUCCAUGGCAUCUGCUUGUACCUCAGUCUCCCUAGCCCAGUCCUACCUGCAACAGGAAUCCAGGACAGACUCGGUGCAGCCCAACCAGGACUCUGGAGUGUGCUCCAGGGUGAGCAACAGUGACGUGGUACAGUUUAGAACAUCUUCCCAGUGUGUCUGUGAGGCUUCCUCUUCAUCCCACACCAUCAGCAGCAGCGGUGGAGCCCAGAGGGAACUGGUUUCCUCCAGGGAGUGUCAAAACUAAGCUCCUUGCAUGUGGACAAGCUGCAAGAGAUUGUUGACCAGCCGAGUUUGCCUCAGAUUGUGAGCCCAGCCUCUCCCUGUGUCAGCAGCCAGGGAUGGCAGGGUUCCACUGAGAUUUAUUCAGUUUUAUUUGCAGAAAUACAUGUCUUGUUUUGCCAGCUCAGCCUCACAUUUUCUAACUCACUGUAAGUGGCUAGAAGGAAAAGGAAGAGGUAUUGGGAAUGAUGUAGAAAUUGAUAAUGGGGGUCCAUUGAUUCAGCUGGAGAAUAAAUUGGGAAAAUGACUUUGGACAGCCUUAAGUGAUUGGAACUCAAUAUAUGAAACGCCCCCGCAUCACUUUGGCAAGCUCUUGCUCUUUCUUAAGCUGCACUAUAUAUUUUUCACAAUAUAAAUCCUGUCAGCAAUGUCUGCCCUUAGAAGUAUUGGCCUAUUUUCCUACUAAUUGUAAUGCUCUCUCUCCCCCACCAGUACAAGCCCUUUUACUGAGGCAAAAAUGAAUCCCACUAAGUGAUCAAGGGCAGUGUUCACUAAUCAGUGUAUGCAAGGAAGACAAUGUACAUGGUAUAAAUUAGGUGGCCCAAAGCAUGUCUGAAAAAAUCAGGAACUGCAACUAGCUUUGAAGUUCUUCCCUAAUCUAAUCUUCUCAUACUGUCAAAACACAAGGUUUUUUUUAUUUUUGAUAAUAGUCAAUAUUUGUAUGU
Loxodonta africana (African savanna elephant) is the source of this 4945-nucleotide long non-coding RNA. RefSeq lists it as uncharacterized. The transcript has 3 exons. Lineage: Eukaryota; Metazoa; Chordata; Mammalia; Proboscidea; Elephantidae. The record is from RefSeq and is a predicted model, not a curated record.